AUACUCUGGUUUCUCUUCAGAUCAUGUAAAUCUUUCACUUUUAACUAAAUAUUUCUGUUGAAAGGGACAUUUUUGAGUUUGUAACUAAUUUUUGAGGCUCUCAUUGUCAUAUGAUGAGA
Protobothrops mucrosquamatus (brown spotted pit viper) is the source of this 119-nucleotide small nuclear RNA. RefSeq annotates it as U5 spliceosomal RNA. The transcript has a single exon. The record is from RefSeq and is a predicted model, not a curated record. Lineage: Eukaryota; Metazoa; Chordata; Lepidosauria; Squamata; Viperidae.